This 462-nucleotide ribosomal RNA is filed under the name uncultured bacterium. Its description in RNAcentral is "partial 16S ribosomal RNA". It matches the Rfam family "Bacterial small subunit ribosomal RNA", at positions 28 to 507 of the family's 1533-position model. The record is from RNAcentral.
GACGAACGCUGGCGGCGUGCUUAACACAUGCAAGUCGAACGGAAAGGCCCUUCGGGGUACUCGAGUGGCGAACGGGUGAGUAACACGUGGGUGAUCUGCCCUGCACUUUGGGAUAAGCCUGGGAAACUGGGUCUAAUACCGAAUAGGACCACGCGCUUCAUGGUGUGUGGUGGAAAGCUUUUGCGGUGUGGGAUGGGCCCGCGGCCUAUCAGCUUGUUGGUGGGGUAAUGGCCUACCAAGGCGACGACGGGUAGCCGGCCUGAGAGGGUGACCGGCCACACUGGGACUGAGAUACGGCCCAGACUCCUACGGGAGGCAGCAGUGGGGAAUAUUGCACAAUGGGCGCAAGCCUGAUGCAGCGACGCCGCGUGAGGGAUGACGGCCUUCGGGUUGUAAACCGCUUUCAAUAGGGACGAAGCGCAAGUGACGGUACCUAUAGAAGAAGCACCGGCCAACUACGUG